AUUGAACGCUGGCGGCAUGCCUUACACAUGCAAGUCGAACGGUAACAGGUCUUCGGAUGCUGACGAGUGGCGAACGGGUGAGUAAUACAUCGGAACGUGCCCGAUCGUGGGGGAUAACGGAGCGAAAGCUUUGCUAAUACCGCAUACGAUCUACGGAUGAAAGCAGGGGACCGCAAGGCCUUGCGCGGACGGAGCGGCCGAUGGCAGAUUAGGUAGUUGGUGGGAUAAAAGCUUACCAAGCCGACGAUCUGUAGCUGGUCUGAGAGGACGACCAGCCACACUGGGACUGAGACACGGCCCAGACUCCUACGGGAGGCAGCAGUGGGGAAUUUUGGACAAUGGGCGCAAGCCUGAUCCAGCCAUGCCGCGUGCAGGAUGAAGGCCCUACGGGUUGUAAACUGCUUUUCACGGGAAGAACCGUACCGACGUGUACGAAGACGUCGACGUACCGUGGGAACUAAGACAAUCGCCGUAACUACCGUAGUCCACGCAGCCGCCGGUAAACGUAACG
This 511-nucleotide ribosomal RNA is filed under the name uncultured bacterium. Its description in RNAcentral is "bacterial SSU rRNA". It matches the Rfam family "Bacterial small subunit ribosomal RNA", at positions 29 to 532 of the family's 1533-position model. The record is from RNAcentral.